GCCAAGUCUGUCAAUUCAAUGUCCAAAAAUAAACGAGUUGCGCUAUUGUAACCGUUUUCGAUAAAUUCUUCUUCAGAUUAUAAUUGAUUCUCCAGUUUAAAUCGAGAUCUGUGCAAUAUUUAUAUAAAUACAUUAUUAAUAAAUUAUUUUAAAACCUUUUUGUACUUUUUAUACAUUGUUAAUACACAAGAUCACAAUAAAGUUUUUUAUAAAUAAUUUUAAAUAGUUUUUUAAAAAACAUUUUUAAAUUUCUCACUUACAAUCGUUCAAGGUGACUUAUUCACAUCCAUUCAGCUUCCCUUCUAAUAGGGCUUACUUCAAACCUCAUUAUUAAAUGCUUUCUGCACUUCCACUUCUCAGCUGAUUCUAAUUCACUGUCUCUUAAAGGGAUAUGUCUCAUUUUACGGUUCACCGAUAACAUGUAAAGUCAAUCUCUCUAUUAAGGCCCUUGGCUGUGUGUGAUUUCAGUCUAUAUAUCCACUUGGAUUCCCACUGUAAAAGAUGUUUCCUUAUGUCAAUAUUUUCAUAUCUGGGGACAUCGCAAUGGUAUAAUACAAGAAAAGUAAAGUCCGUUUCUUUAUGUCCUACUUCUAGGAAAUGUUGCACUAAAGGUUCUUGCAUUUUGGCUAAUCUUAUGUUUGAUUUGUGCUCCGUUAUUCUGAUUUUGAGGUUUCUCAUCGUCAUUCCGAUAUAAUAUAGACCACAUUUACAUUGUAUAAGGUACACACAAUUGGUGGUUUGGCAGUUGGAGAAAUGCUUCAGGUGCCACUUAUAGUUGGUGUUCCGAUCUUCAAAUAUUUUUGUAUUCUGAGAUAAAUUGCAAACUGCACAGUGGCCACAUCUGUGGUGUCCUACAGUGGGUGGGGAAUACCUUUUAGGUGCCCUAAAGUCUGAUCUAAUUAUUUUCUGUCUUAAGCUUUGUGUCUUUCUAAAUCCAAUUCUGGGCAUAUUUCCACAUCCUGGGAUAUCCGAUACCAAAUGCCAGUGUUUAAGUAUGACAUUUUUGAUGUCUUGUGCUAAGGGGAUGAAAUUCAUUGCCCAAUUUAUACCAUCUGUCUUUUUUGUUUUUUGUCUGGGUUGUAGUAAUUUGUCACGGGGAAUCGAUUGAAUGCGUUCCCAAGCUGAUCUUAACACGGGUAUAGGAUAUCCUCUCUCCUGAUAAUCAGAUAAUAUACUAUUAGCUUCCAAAAAGAAUGCAGGUUCUUUUGUGGCAUUUCUCUUAGCCCUUACAAGUUGGCUAAAUGGUAAGUUGUCUCUCAAGUGCCUAGGAUGAUAUGACUGAUAAUGAAGGGCAUGGUUGGUGUCAGUCGGCUUAUGAUAGGGUUUAAAGAAGAUUUUCCCUGAGUUGUCUAUAUUUAUAGUUGUAUCUAGGAAGUUUAUAUUAGAUGUAUCCUUUGUUCCUGUGAACUUAAUGGACGUAUGUCGUCCAUUAAGCCAUUGAAUCAGUUUCAUUACUUCCGUAUCAGGUCUCACUAUAAAUAGUAAGUAAUCUAUGUAUCUUUUAUCUAAACUGAUUUUGUCAUAGUAUGGAUUACUCUCGCUGUUCAUGAUAUAAGUGGUCUCAAACCAUUGCAUGAAAAUAUUGGCGGCACUUGGAGCAAAAUUUGUUCCCAUGCUCAAGCCUUUGAUUUGUAAUCCUCACGAUUUAGAAUGACUGUAGCUCCUCCCUUAUCCGCCUGCUUAAUGAUAAUGUCUGGAUCAGCAGCCAAAUUGUCCAAGAUUUGUAUCUCCCUUAUAUUGAAAUUAAAGAAUAUAUUCCUA
This is a long non-coding RNA of Sphaerodactylus townsendi, 1761 nucleotides long. RefSeq lists it as uncharacterized. The record is from RefSeq and is a predicted model, not a curated record. NCBI's taxonomy places the organism in Eukaryota, Metazoa, Chordata, Lepidosauria, Squamata, Sphaerodactylidae. The transcript is spliced from 2 exons.